Molecule: long non-coding RNA, 801 nt
Organism: Microplitis mediator
Lineage: Eukaryota; Metazoa; Arthropoda; Insecta; Hymenoptera; Braconidae
Exons: 3
Source: RefSeq, a predicted model, not a curated record
AUCUGAUGUAAAACAAAGUUUGUUUGAUGGUUUCAUAGUAGUAAUAUGAUCAAGUAGUUACACUAAAUUUAAUAGCAUUAAUCUGAUCAAGUGAAUGAAAUCAUGUUGGUUCACUGAAUUUUAUCAACUAAAAUAAUGAUUAGAGUGGACGCAAUUAUAUUUAUCAUCAAAUUUUUUUUAAAUACUCAAUCGAAUAGUUGCUAUAAAUUUUUUAGUUUAAAUAAAUAUGUAAAAUAAUGAAAUGUUUUAAAACGAAAAGCAGGUAAUGUUUGUUUCAGUACAAAUUUAAAAUAUUUUUGACAACAGUGGGAAGAAACGUUAUAAACUAAAUCUAGAGACUGAUGAUCCUUUGUCUAAGCAUGCAUCUGUAAAACAAAAAAAUCUGGCCAACGGUGAAGAAGACAGGAACGUUGAUUGGUCGUUGGACACCGUGUCGUUUCAUCGUUGGCCAUCUAGAAUUUUUGCAUUACAAUUAAUCCACCAGCUUAAUAGCCUUCAUUUCAAACACCUGGUACGGCCACUGGCCUCUAGGACAAUGAGACAUCAUCUUAGUUCUCAUUGGGGAUAAAAACCAAAAGACCAAAAAGAAUAUCCAGGCAAAGUGACCUGCAUCUCUCGAAAGGACACAGCAUCCACACUCUCUAUCAUCGUUAUAAGAACAAGGGGUGCGAGCCUGAGAAUAAUUUUAGAAGAAUACUCAUCACUUUAGGAAUCAAUCAACAAUCACUCGGAUCAUUUCGUGAUGUAGAAAAUCGGUGGAUCGUGAUGGGGCUUUGGUUGAUGAUAAUAAUGAGACGUCUU